CCUACGGGAGGCAGCAGUGGGGAAUAUUGGACAAUGGGCGAAAGCCUGAUCCAGCCAUGCCGCGUGUGUGAAGAAGGUCUUCGGAUUGUAAAGCACUUUAAGUUGGGAGGAAGGGUUGUAGAUUAAUACUCUGCAAUUUUGACGUUACCGACAGAAUAAGCACCGGCUAACUCUGUGCCAGCAGCCGCGGUAAUACAGAGGGUGCAAGCGUUAAUCGGAAUUACUGGGCGUAAAGCGCGCGUAGGUGGUUUGUUAAGUUGGAUGUGAAAUCCCCGGGCUCAACCUGGGAACUGCAUCCAAAACUGGCAAGCUAGAGUAUGGUAGAGGGUGGUGGAAUUUCCUGUGUAGCGGUGAAAUGCGUAGAUAUAGGAAGGAACACCAGUGGCGAAGGCGACCACCUGGACUGAUACUGACACUGAGGUGCGAAAGCGUGGGGAGCAAACAGGAUUAGACUACCCUGGUAACUCCACGACCGUAACGACUAGUACAACUACGCGUCGGUAGCGU
RNAcentral lists this ribosomal RNA (507 nucleotides) under uncultured bacterium. Its description in RNAcentral is "bacterial SSU rRNA". It matches the Rfam family "Bacterial small subunit ribosomal RNA", at positions 338 to 835 of the family's 1533-position model. The record is from RNAcentral.